AAUUUUUUUAAUUUCUCCAAUCAAAUCCACCACCAAAAUAGUGAGUACAUACUAACUUAAAAUAAUGUUAAUUAAUAUCUUUUUUAAACUAAUACAUAUUAACUUUACAUAAUGUUAAGCCAAGUGACUUUUUAAAAUAUUUUUUGUAUUUUAUGUAAAAUAUGUGCUACUUGAAUUAUUUUUUCAAUAACCACUGGCUCAUUCAACCGAGGUGGUUUGAUUGUUCCCCAGACCACAUAGGCUUGCUGGGUACAUCAAUUUCCUUUUCCGGUUUUGUCUCGAUGAUAUUACUCUUCUUUUCCCUUUUCUCUUCUUUCGGGGCUGCCCCGGGCUUCUUUUCUUCAUCAGCAAUAGCAAUUAUGGCCUUAAGCGCCGGAUCAAUUUUUUUGUCCUCACAAAUCAUCCCAAUUAGCGGCCCGUUGUUGUGAGCGGGCAUCGGAUUAUUGGUCACAUUUGGGACAUCCUCAUCCUUCAAUACAAUUCUCCCUUGCUCUAUUAAAUCGCUUAUUUCAGAGUCCAACAGUCAUUUGUAUCAUACCCUUCGACCCCUGAAUGAUAGGCACAUCUGACACCCCGCUGAUAUGAUGGUGAUUCUGGGUAUUGCCCGUUUGGAGGUAUGGGUUGCAACAAAUUCAUCUGGACAAGCUUAGGGAAUAGGGUGGAGUAGAGUUCACCGAUUGGUGUAUAGUUGGGUCUCCUGGGUGGUUCUCGGGGACGGAAGUUAUUAUUGGAAAGUCGAGGAUUAUAGUGGUUCUGGUGAGGAGGCUGGUAGAAUGGAGGUUGAUUUCUGUUAGCCCGUGGUUGCGGUCGGGCGAAAGGUUGAGCGUUCAUGACCGCAUAAGGUGGUGGAGCAUAGUCCAUAUCGGAACGAGGAUAGUAGUGUUGAGGGUUUCUUUCGGAAAACACAGGUCUAGGAGCCCAGUAUCUUCCUUCCCCUAAUGCCUCUAUGGUUGUUUCUUCUCUUGUCUUGCUCUUUGCCAUUCCUCCAGACCCGUCUUGGAUGGCUUGGGAGGUUUCUCUGAUGGUUGACUGACUCCAAAUCCUACUAUUUUCAAAAUCCACCAACAACUCUUCUUUUUCUCCGAUCCCACGCAGCUGAUUACAAUACUUUUUCGAGUGAGCGAUGAGAUCACCAUGCCCAUCAUACUUUUCAUCUUUCUCGGGAGUUUUGAGAGUUUUAUCUUUCCCUGGUGUAAUCUCAUAUGGUGGUGGAUGAGGGUGAGCACAUAUGGGGCACGGCAGAUCUGCCUGAAAGACAGGAUUCUGGAAAGUGAACACACAAGGGUCAAAAUCAGGAUUUGACAAUGAAGGUUGUACUGUGGCAGAGCAUGGUGGAGCCGUAAAGAUGUUGGGAGCCGUCCAGGGCAUGAAUACUUGGGGGCAAACAUCAGAAGUGCCUCCCACAUAGUGAGCAGAUAUAGUAGGCUGUCCCAAUGGGAUGUUCGAGUGAUUAAUUGGAUUAUUGGAGGUACCCGUUGGCCUUGGGAACAACUCGGGAAAUCCAUGAUGGCGUUCGGGGGUUCUUUUCCAUUUGUCCAAACGUCCCAAAUCUCCAUUACCCUCAGAUACAAGAUUCUAUUCUCUACAGCUGCAGAGCACUCCGAGGCUGGGACACCCAAGAGCAGGUUGUUAUCCGAAAUAUGGAUUGUUAGCAGGGUCAUUUAUGACGACAUCUCUGUACUACCUUUAAAUCUGGUAAAGUAGUGGUGCGAAGCCAGUUUACCACAAAACCAUCCACCUGUUUUUACAAACUUGUACUCUAGAAAUUACAGCAGUGAACGGUCAGUUUUGAAACAAAUACAGAUAGGUAAUCACACAUCAACGGCUGAUGUGUCAUCCCGCCUUUUCUUUUGUUUUCCCUUGCUUGUUUUUAUCUUUUGCUUUCUCUCAUUUUCUUUUCUUUUUCCUUUCUGCGGUUUUCUUUGAUUUUCUUCCACUCUUUUCUGGUUUUCCUUUAUUUUCUUUUUGUUUUUCUCUUAUGGUUACAUUCGAAUCCGAUGAGGAUUGCCUACGUAUCGCGAUACCGCACGAAUUAGACUAAACGUAGUUCGUGAAGAUCGAGAAUAGAGUGAAUAAACUAUCUUUUUUUUUGAAAUUUUGAAAGAAAUGCAUUAAAAAAAGAAAGGAUAUAGAUAUAUAUAUAUAUAUAUUUUUUUUGCUUUUGAUUUUUGGUUUUGUUUUUGAAAGAAAGACUUCUAAAAAUUCAUUUGCUUUUGCUUUAAACCUGAGAAUUUCAAAAGUAAAAGGAAUUUUUUUUUUGAAUUUUCAUUUGUUUUACCUUUUUAUAAGGAAGAAAGAAAAUAUUUUUUGAUUUUGGAUAUUGCCUCUUAAUUUUCGAAAGAGAGAUUUUAAGAAAAUGUUUUGGAUUUAUGAGUUUUUAUUUAUUUACAAAAGUACUUCUAAAGAAAAGCGAAAAUAUUUUUUGGACUUCAAUUUUUUAAUAAUUCUUUUUGACAUUUACGAAAGAAAGACUUUUAAACAAGGAAAAGAAUUUUUUUAAAAUUCUUUUUAUCUCGUUUUUUUUCGAAUUUUCUAAAGAAGGAACAAAGGAAUUUUUUUUUGGAAUUUUUUGAAAAUUGGGGUCAACAUAGGGACUGGAUUUUUGAGUUUUUAUUUAUUUACAAAAGUACUUCUAAAGAAAAACGAAAAUAUUUUUGGACUUCAAUUUUUCAAUAACUCUUUUUGAUAUUUACGAAAAAAAAGACUAUUAAAAAAGGAAAAUAAUUUUUAUUUCUGAUUUUUUUUUCGAAUUUGCUAAAGAAGGAACAAAGGAAAAUAUUUUGUUUUGGAUUUUUUUUAAUAUUGUAGUCCAAACCGAUGAGGUUUGCCUACGUAUCUCACACCUGGUGAGAAUCAGACCCGCGUAGUUCGGGCAAAUAAACUAACUAAUUUUGAGACAAAAAUCUUUUCAAACCAUUUUUGAAUUUUCGGUAAACAAACUAAAAGAAACAUUUUUUCUUUCUUCCAAUUUUCAAAUUUUCGGCACAGUUCAGACAACAUUUGGGCAUUGGGUUUUCUAAAUUAAUCAGUUAACUCUCUGACUUGCCAUUUUUUCGCCUUUUCUAAUUUUUCUAACUUCUCCGAGACUCAAAAGCCGGUCAACAUGCAAGCCCGAGCAAAUAAAUGCACAGAAAAUAAGUAGGAUGCAUCAGGAUGGUCUAUUCAUUUCAGGUUGCUAGCUCUAGACUGACCCAACCCCUGUGUUGAGUCCCCUAAGUCAAAAUGCACAUGAUGCAAAUAAGAGUUCCCACUAGGAUCCGACAUGAGGCUGAGUUAUUUUAUGUUCAAAACCUGGGUGUUUGUUCUAGACUUGCUUGCUCGAGCGGACAACUCGAGCCGAGGGGAAGGCAGCAAUCCGGGAAUACAGAAGUUUCGCCAGCUUUGCGACUUAUCCAAACCUCGUUCUAAAUUAGGAUUUGACACUACACAGAAAAGAAGUCGUACACCGUACACCUUUCUUCAUAAUUCAGAAGACUGAGAGAGGAGAUGGGUUUCGACACAGCUUAUAAAUAGUUCACGUAAUAUCAAAGCGUUAAAAGCAAUCAAUUAGCACAUUAAGCACAUAUCAUCUAAUAGAAUCAGAUAAAUUCAAAUACAACAAUUAUUCUAAGCUCGAAUUCUGAACCCUGAACAAAACGUUCUAGGUUCUUUCCCUAGCAGAGUCGCCAAAGCUGUCACACCUCUUUUUUACAUACCUACCCCAAAGGAUAAUGUAUAAGGGAGUUUUUCCAUUUAAAGUAACAAUAUUCGAGUCAGGAUUAUUUAUUUAGAGUCGCCAUUUGGGAUAAAUUUGGCUUUUUGUGUCCCAAGUCACAAGUUUAUCUUGAAUCCCGAACCGAGGAAAAUUCCGACUUCCGAAUGGAGUUUUUUUUCAGAAAUUCUGAAUAAGGAAUUUUGUUGACCCGAGGGAUGGUGUUAGGCACCCUCAGAUCCCGUGGUUCUAGCACGGUCGCUUAAAUUUUCAUGAAUGGCUAAAAUCUGAUUUUAAUACAUGAAGAGCCUAUGUGCCAAUUUUACGUAUGACCACUUUUUUUUAUUAUGUAUUUAGUGAAGAGAAAGGGAACGUCGUUUAAAGUAUGUUUUCUGAUUGCUCCGCAUGAAAUGAACGCGCAAUCCUAGGCACACUCUAUUCAAAGUUUUAGGAUUUGGAUUUGGGUCGCAUAAAAUGUCCACUCAUAUUUAUGAAUGUAAUUUAUUAAAGUCGCGCCUAAUAAAAUCUAACGCGUUAUAAUCUUUUGGAAGAGCCAUAAAAAUAACUAAAUAGCACACCUCAAUUCCAAUUUCAAAGAAUUGUACUCAACUAAAACGAGCUACGAAUGUUCAUAAUUAUUUUAUAAAGUAUUUUGGGAUUGUACGACUGAAUAGCUCUAAAAGAAGAACUAACCUGACAUAAAGUAAGUAAGCAAGUGCAAUUGAAUAAGCUAUCUGCUAGUGAGCCGACGUAGUGCUUAAAACACUCAAAGAGGUAAUUAAAAACAUAUAAUCCACUAGAACAAAAUUAUCAAAGUACUAUCAAUACCAAUUUGUGGUUUAUUAAAUCCAGACUCCAAAGUCCAAACAUGAAAUUGUUAUGCCAACACAUUAUUAAUAUGCACAUGAUAUUUUGAAGUAUAUGAGAUCGGCUUAUUUUAAAAGGAAAAAGAAAAUCCUAAAAUUCAUUUAUAAUCAAUAAGAUUAACCAGAAAACACUUUAGCAUGAACCUAUCUUGUACGACAUUUUAGCAGAAGAAACAAAGUUGGACCAGACCAGAUCUCAUAGCUGAAUUUAAUCAUUGAUUAAACUAGUUUAAGCAGUUAUUAUAAGUAAAUCCAGCGCCGGAAUCCGUGCGUCCAGUAGCAAACAACAAAACUAACUCGAAAAGUGCUUCUUCUCCGCUCAGUAGUAACUAUAUACAAAACCCAGCAAUCAAGGAUCAAAUAAAGGUACGAAGAAGCUCAGCAGAUCCAGACACAAACAAAAUCAACAUACCAUCAAUUUUAACAGCUCGGAUGCUUGAGAAAUCCCAGAACCAUGAACGAAAAGCUCAAAAAUUGCGGAAAGUUGCGGUUUCAAUCCCCCUUUUCCGUUUUCUUUGCUUCUUUAUUUCAGAUUCAAUUUUUGUAAAAUUCAAAAUGGAACUCAGUUGUUCCAUGCAUGAGAGAGGUGAGAGCGAGAGUGAGUUCAAUGGAGAAGAAUCGGAGGCACCUCCUAAAAUUGGUAUUCCGUAUGUUUUUAUGUCACGAAGAAGCUGGAAGAAAAAAUGGUGAUGACGUGUGAGCCCUCAUCUGAAGUGAGAAUGGAGAAGAAGGAUAAAGGUAAAUAGCUGGAAUCCAAGAAUUGAGAAGGGAGCAUACUAUUUGCGUGUCUCUAUGGGGAAAAGGGUUUGGAUCGGGUAAGAGGAUUUGGGCUUGGUUUAGACGGGUUUGGGUGGUUUUUAGGACUGAUUUUGACUUUAAAAGGC
RNAcentral lists this long non-coding RNA (5441 nucleotides) under Nicotiana benthamiana. RNAcentral's name for it is "long non-coding RNA (NBEN_LNC040079)". Lineage: Eukaryota; Viridiplantae; Streptophyta; Magnoliopsida; Solanales; Solanaceae. The record is from RNAcentral.